This 492-nucleotide ribosomal RNA is filed under the name uncultured bacterium. Its description in RNAcentral is "partial 16S ribosomal RNA". It matches the Rfam family "Bacterial small subunit ribosomal RNA", at positions 29 to 507 of the family's 1533-position model. The record is from RNAcentral.
AGUGAACGCUGGCGGUAGGUCUAACACAUGCCAGUCGAACGGCAGCACAGUAAGAGCUUGCUCUUAAGGGUGGCGAGUGGCGGACGGGUGAGGAAUACAUCGGAAUCUACUUUUUCGUGGGGGAUAACGUAGGGAAACUUACGCUAAUACCGCAUACGACCUACGGGUGAAAGCAGGGGAUCUUCGGACCUUGCGCGAUUGAAUGAGCCGAUGUCGGAUUAGCUAGUUGGCGGGGUAAAGGCCCACCAAGGCGACGAUCCGUAGCUGGUCUGAGAGGAUGAUCAGCCACACUGGAACUGAGACACGGUCCAGACUCCUACGGGAGGCAGCAGUGGGGAAUAUUGGACAAUGGGCGCAAGCCUGAUCCAGCCAUACCGCGUGGGUGAAGAAGGCCUUCGGGUUGUAAAGCCCUUUUGUUGGGAAAGAAAAGCAGCAGGUUAAUACCCCGCUGUUCUGACGGUACCCAAAGAAUAAGCACCGGCUAACUUCGUG